This is a non-coding RNA of Gasterosteus aculeatus aculeatus (three-spined stickleback), 1145 nucleotides long. The record is from RefSeq and is a predicted model, not a curated record. Lineage: Eukaryota; Metazoa; Chordata; Actinopteri; Perciformes; Gasterosteidae.
AGCACCUACACAAACGACAGGAACGCCCUUUUAAUAAUAACACGUCCAGUCAACACAGUUCUCAUGAUUCGGCCUGCGAGCCGAGUUAAUGGUCUGACCUCAAAGGUGAUGUAGUACUGCAUUUGGUGGAUGAAGUGGACCAUCUCGGAGGCCAGGAUGUGACACUGAUGCAGCACGCCGGACAACUCUGGAGGGCAAAAGAGCAAUAAGGCAGGAAAAACCCAAGCUCGUCCUUUAAAGACACACACGCAGUUCUAGAUAACAGUACAGCCGGUAUGAAAAAAGACAUCCAACAACCAUCUUGUGUUUGUUUACCCACCGGGCAUCGUUUUGAGCAGCUUGGCGUUACACAUCUGUCCCUUCCAGAUGUCAGUCAGGGUGUACUCCAUCCUCUUGGCCCUCCACAGGAAAUUGAACACGCGCAAGUAGUGGCCCAUGCACUCCCUCGUGAACACCUAAAACAAAAUACACACACAGGUAUAGAUAUGCGACAGCAGCAGCCACACAAUGUAUUGGGAAUUGUGUUGAAGUGUGUGUGUUACCGUAGCAAUGGGUCCAUCCACGUGGUAGUCCAGGCUGAAAACAUCCCAGCCUGUAUCACCAGGGGACACCUGCAUCCAACAAAGCGACGGAUGUAAAAAAGAAUAACACAAAACAAAAACAGAUGUCAGAGACACACAAACUCGUUACCUCCAGCAGGCGCACAUCCAGCCUCUUGAGGAUCUCCGCGUUGUCGUACUGGGCGUUCGUGGCUCUGACCGCCGUCUCCAGGAUGCCCGUCAGGUUGUGCUGGUACAGAGUGGUGGCAGGACGCACCAACUCCGGUCUGGGACACAAAACACACGAGGACACGUGACGCGAUCGGAUUCAGACGUCCGAAAGCAGCCGAGAUGGUCGACGUGUGUGUGUGUGUGUGUGUGUGUGUGCGUGUUGCUAACUUCAGCAGGUCCAUGAGGUGUCUGAUGAAGUCUCCCUGGCCCAGCAGCAGGUAUCUCCUCAUGGCCUGCAGGUGCUCAAGCAGCAGGUAGUUGCGGUUGAGAACGUCCAGCAGGUAUUUGCUGGUGUCGAAGUAGGCGGCGUCGAUCUUCUCCUGAACGCCCCCUCCAGGUCUGAGAGCAGCUCUGCAGCUGUGAGGAGACAAAAAA